UUUUAUUUGAGAGUUUGAUCCUGGCUCAGGAUGAACGCUGGCGGCGUGCCUAACACAUGCAAGUUGAGCGAUUUACUUCGGUAAAGAGCGGCGGACGGGUGAGUAACGCGUGGGUAACCUACCCUGUACACACGGAUAACAUACCGAAAGGUAUGCUAAUACGGGAUAAUAUAUUUGAGAGGCAUCUCUUAAAUAUCAAAGGUGAGCCAGUACAGGAUGGACCCGCGUCUGAUUAGCUAGUUGGUAAGGUAACGGCUUACCAAGGCGACGAUCAGUAGCCGACCUGAGAGGGUGAUCGGCCACAUUGGAACUGAGAC
This 317-nucleotide ribosomal RNA is filed under the name Clostridioides difficile. RNAcentral's name for it is "bacterial SSU rRNA". It matches the Rfam family "Bacterial small subunit ribosomal RNA", at positions 1 to 325 of the family's 1533-position model. Lineage: Bacteria; Bacillati; Bacillota; Clostridia; Peptostreptococcales; Peptostreptococcaceae. The record is from RNAcentral.